UGAGGAAUAUUGGUCAAUGGAGGCAACUCUGAACCAGCCAUCCCGCGUGAAGGAUUGAAGGCGCUCGACGUCGUAAACUUCUUUUAUAUAGGAAUAACCGUAAGUACGUGUACUUACCUGAAUGUACUAUAUGAAUAAGCAUCGGCUAACUCCGUGCCAGCAGCCGCGGUAAUACGGAGGAUGCAAGCGUUAUCCGGAUUUAUUGGGUUUAAAGGGUCCGCAGGCGGACCGGUCAGUCAGUGGUGAAAUCCCAUCGCUUAACGAUGGAACUGCCAUUGAUACUGCCGGUCUUGAGUCUAGUUGACGUAGGCGGAAUAUGACAUGUAGCGGUGAAAUGCAUAGAUAUGUCA
RNAcentral lists this ribosomal RNA (350 nucleotides) under uncultured bacterium. RNAcentral describes it as "bacterial SSU rRNA". It matches the Rfam family "Bacterial small subunit ribosomal RNA", at positions 355 to 701 of the family's 1533-position model. The record is from RNAcentral.